AGUUUUAGCUCUUUAUUCUUAAGAUUUAUAGCCUUAUAUUCAACCAUUAAUUCAUUAAAUGCAUCAUACAAUUCAUCAAAGGUAAAAUCUAGAUGCAUUUCGGAUGUUACCUCAUUUUCAUUUGCCAUGAAGCAGAAAUUGGCCUUUUCUUCUUGUUCCUCAUCCGAUGAUGAUGAUGAUGAGUCGGAGUCCGAUAAGGUGGAGACAAGGGCUUUCUUUUUCUUGUACUUGCUUCCCUUCUUCAGCAAAGGACACUCAGCUCUGAUGUGCCCCGGCUUCUUGCACUCAUAACAUCCAAUCCCCUCAUUUU
Molecule: long non-coding RNA, 310 nt
Filed under: Phoenix dactylifera (date palm)
Lineage: Eukaryota; Viridiplantae; Streptophyta; Magnoliopsida; Arecales; Arecaceae
Description: long non-coding RNA (PDAC_LNC013032)
Source: RNAcentral